This 314-nucleotide unclassified non-coding RNA is filed under the name uncultured Thelephoraceae. Its description in RNAcentral is "sequence contains 5.8S rRNA gene". Lineage: Eukaryota; Fungi; Basidiomycota; Agaricomycetes; Thelephorales; Thelephoraceae. The record is from RNAcentral.
GAACGCACCUUGCGCCCUUUGGCUAUUCCGAAGGGCAUGCCUGUUUGAGUAUCAUGAACACCUCAACUCUCAUGGUUUGCCAUGAUGAGCUUGGACUUUGGGGGUCUUGCUGGCUUAUGGUCAGCUCCUCUUAAACGAAUCAGCUUGCCAGUGUUUGGUGGCAUCGCAGGUGUGAUAACUAUCUACGCUUGUGGUUUUCCAUCAGGUAACCUUCAGUGAUGGAGGUUCGCUGGGGCUCAUAAAGGUCUCUCCUCAGCGAGGACAGCUUUUUGAACGUUUGAUCUCAAAUCAGGUAGGACUACCCGCUGAACUUA